GGAUCCAGACUUUGAUCAUGGCUCAGGAUGAACGCUAGCUACAGGCUUAACACAUGCAAGUCGAGGGGAAACGACAUCGAAAGCUUGCUUUUGAUGGGCGUCGACCGGCGCGCGGGUGAGUAACGCGUAUCCAACCUGCCCAUCACUUGGGAAUAACCUUGCGAAAGUAAGACUAAUACCCAAUGAUAUCCCACGAAGGCAUCCGAAUGGGAUUAAAGAUUUAUCGGUGAUGGAUGGGGAUGCGUCUGAUUAGCUUGUUGGCGGGGUAACGGCCCACCAAGGCAACGAUCAGUAGGGGUUCUGAGAGGAAGGUCCCCCACAUUGGAACUGAGACACGGUCCAAACUCCUACGGGAGGCAGCAGUGAGGAAUAUUGGUCAAUGGGCGAGAGCCUGAACCAGCCAAGUAGCGUGCAGGAUGACGGCCCUAUGGGUUGUAAACUGCUUUUAUAAGGGAAUAAAGUGGGUCACGUGUGACUUUUUGCAUAUACCUUAUGAAUAAGGACCGGCUAAUUCCGUGCCAGCAGCCGCGGUAAUACGGAAGGUCCGGGCGUUAUCCGGAUUUAUUGGGUUUAAAGGGAGCGUAGGCCGGAGAUUAAGCGUGUUGUGAAAUGUAGAGGCUCAACCUCUGCACUGCAGCGCGAACUGGUCUUCUUGAGUACGCACAACGUGGGCGGAAUUCGUGGUGUAGCGGUGAAAUGCUUAGAUAUCACGAAGAACUCCGAUUGCGAAGGCAGCUCACGGGAGCGCAACUGACGCUGAAGCUCGAAAGUGCGGGUAUCGAACAGGAUUAGAUACCCUGGUAGUCCGCACGGUAAACGAUGGAUGCCCGCUGUUGGCCUGAAUAGGUCAGCGGCCAAGCGAAAGCAUUAAGCAUCCCACCUGGGGAGUACGCCGGCAACGGUGCAACUCA
This 911-nucleotide ribosomal RNA is filed under the name uncultured bacterium. RNAcentral describes it as "bacterial SSU rRNA". It matches the Rfam family "Bacterial small subunit ribosomal RNA", at positions 1 to 903 of the family's 1533-position model. RNAcentral also lists the same sequence under 1 other name. The record is from RNAcentral.